This 647-nucleotide long non-coding RNA is filed under the name Salvia miltiorrhiza (redroot sage). RNAcentral describes it as "long non-coding RNA (SMIL_LNC007968)". The record is from RNAcentral. Lineage: Eukaryota; Viridiplantae; Streptophyta; Magnoliopsida; Lamiales; Lamiaceae.
AAGAAAAGAGCGAAACUUGUAAUAUCAUUAAGCGAAACUUUUAAUAUCAUUUAUUAAUGAUACUAUUUUUCUUACUAAAUGAAACCUUUAAAUAUAGAACGAAUGAUUCUAUUUUUCUUACUAAAUGAACCUUUAAAUAUAGAACAAAUGAUACUAUUUUUCUUAAUAAAUCAAACCUUUAAUAUAGAACAAAUGUAACUAUUUUUCAAACUAAAUAAAAUAAAAAAAUAAUUAAAAAUUUGAAACGAAAAAGAAAAAAGAAGAAGAAAAAAGAAACUACAUACUUAAGAAACUAAAAGUAUUAAAAGAAAGAAACUAUAGAAAAAAUAAAAAAAACUACAAGUAUUAAAAGAAAGAAACUAUAAAAAAAAAACUACAUACUUAAAAGAAAGAAACUACAAGUAUUAAAAGAAAGAAACUACAAGUAUUAUUUUAAUAAAGAAAUUACAUACUUAAAAGAAAGAAACUACAAAAAAAAACUACAUACUUAAAAGAAAGAAACUACAAAUAUUAUUUUAAUAAAGAAAUUACAUACUUAAAAGAAAGAAACUACAAGUAUUAUUUUAAUAAAGAAAUUACAUAUUUAAAAGAAAGAAACUACAAAAAAAAGAGAAAGAAACUACAUACUUAAAAGAAAGAAACUACAA